This 253-nucleotide ribosomal RNA is filed under the name Bacteroides ovatus. Its description in RNAcentral is "partial 16S ribosomal RNA". It matches the Rfam family "Bacterial small subunit ribosomal RNA", at positions 524 to 776 of the family's 1533-position model. The record is from RNAcentral. Lineage: Bacteria; Pseudomonadati; Bacteroidota; Bacteroidia; Bacteroidales; Bacteroidaceae.
UACGGAGGAUUCGAGCGUUAUCCGGAUUUAUUGGGUUUAAAGGGAGCGUAGGUGGAUUGUUAAGUCAGUUGUGAAAGUUUGCGGCUCAACCGUAAAAUUGCAGUUGAAACUGGCAGUCUUGAGUACAGUAGAGGUGGGCGGAAUUCGUGGUGUAGCGGUGAAAUGCUUAGAUAUCACGAAGAACUCCGAUUGCGAAGGCAGCUCACUAGACUGUCACUGACACUGAUGCUCGAAAGUGUGGGUAUCAAACAGG